This 72-nucleotide transfer RNA is filed under the name Marmota monax (woodchuck). It matches the Rfam family "tRNA". From Rfam's summary of the family: Transfer RNA (tRNA) molecules are approximately 80 nucleotides in length. The record is from Rfam by way of RNAcentral. Lineage: Eukaryota; Metazoa; Chordata; Mammalia; Rodentia; Sciuridae.
UGGGUUGUAGCUCAGUGGUACAGUGCUCACCUAGCACAUGUGAGGCCCUGGGUUCGAUCCUCAGCACCACAU